UGAAUACGAGACGCUAAGGCGUCGAAGUAGUGUAUGUCAUACUUCUAAGAAAAGCUUGCACUGUCAUAGAUAAAAAACGCCUGUACCAUAACCGACACAGGUGGGUAGGUAGAGUAUACUAAGGGGCGCGAGAUAACUCUCUCUAAGGAACUCGGCAAAAUAACUCCGUAACUUCGGGAGAAGGAGUGCCUUAUUCGUAAGGUUGCAAUAACAAGAUCCAAGCAACUGUUUAUCAAAAACACAGGUCUCCGCUAAGUCGUAAGACGAUGUAUGGGGGCUGACGCCUGCCCAGUGCCAGAAGGUUAAAGAAGUUGGUUAGCAAUUGCGAAGCUGAUAACUGAAGCCCUGGUGAACGGCGGCCGUAACAAUAACGGUCCUAAGGUAGCGAAAUUCCUUGUCGGGUAAGUUCCGACCCGCACGAAAGGCGUAAUGAUUUGGAUACUGUCUCGGAGAGGGGCUCGGUGAAAUAGACUUGUCUGUGAAGAUGCGGACUACCCGCACCAGGACAGAAAGACCCUAUGAAGCUUUACUGUAACUUGAAAUUGAAAUUGGACUUUAUUCGCGCAGUAUAGGUGGGAGGCGUUGAUUAUAAUCUUGUGGGAUUAUUGGAGCCAUCAGUGAGAUACCACUCUUGUAAUGUUAGAUUUCUAACUUUGAAUCAUUAUCUGGUCAAAGAACAGUUUCAGGCGGGCAGUUUGACUGGGGCGGUCGCCUCCUAAACGGUAACGGAGGCGUACAAAGGUUUCCUCUGAACGGUUAGAAAUCGUAUCUAGAGUGUAAAGGCAUAAGGAAGCUUGACUGUGAGACCUACAAGUCGAGCAGGGACGAAAGUCGGUCUUAGUGAUCUGACGGUACUGAGUGGAAAGGCCGUCACUCAACGGAUAAAAGUUACUCUAGGAUAACAGGCUGAUCUCCCCCAAGAGUUCACAUCGACGGGGAGGUUUGGCACCUCGAUGUCGGCUCAUCGCAUCCUGGGGCGGUAGUACGUCCCAAGGGUUGGGCUGUUCGCCCAUGAAAGCGGUACGCGAGCUGGGUUCAGAACGUCGUGAGACAGUUCGGUCCAUAUCCGGUGUAGGCGUUAGAAUAUUGAGAGGAGCCUUCUUUAGUACGAGAGGACCGAGAAGGACAUACCUCUGGUGUACCAGUUAUCGUGCCAACGGUAAACGCUGGGUAGCUAUGUAUGGAGUGGAUAACCGCUGAAAGCAUCUAAGUGGGAAGCCCACCUCAAGAU
Molecule: ribosomal RNA, 1231 nt
Filed under: metagenome
Description: bacterial LSU rRNA
Rfam family: Bacterial large subunit ribosomal RNA
Source: RNAcentral